This 752-nucleotide ribosomal RNA is filed under the name Pseudevadne tergestina. RNAcentral's name for it is "bacterial SSU rRNA". It matches the Rfam family "Eukaryotic small subunit ribosomal RNA", at positions 53 to 751 of the family's 1831-position model. Lineage: Eukaryota; Metazoa; Arthropoda; Branchiopoda; Diplostraca; Podonidae. The record is from RNAcentral.
GCAUGUCUAAGUACAAGCCGCUAUCGGCGAAACCGCGAAUGGCUCAAUAAAUCAGUUAUGGUUCCUUAGAUAAUUCCAUCCUACUUGGAUAACUGUGGUAAUUCUAGAGCUAAUACAUGCACUCAAGCCCCGACUCUCGGGUCUCGGCCCGGGCAGGAGGGGUGCUUUUAUUAGAUCAAAACCAAUCGAGGCGCUAAGCCGGCGGAGGGGCCUCGGUCCUUUCGUCGGUGCCUCGUUCCGUUUGGUGACUCUGAAUAACUUUUUGCUGAUCGCACGGCCUCGAGCCGGCGACGCAUCUUUCAAAUGUCUGCCUUAUCAACUUUCGAUGGUAGGUUAUGCGCCUACCAUGGUUGCUACGGGUAACGGGGAAUCGGGGUUCGAUUCCGGAGAGGGAGCCUGAGAAACGGCUACCACAUCCAAGGAAGGCAGCAGGCGCGCAAAUUACCCACUCCCGGCACGGGGAGGUAGUGACGAAAAAUAACGAUACGGGACUCUUCCGAGGCUCCGUGAUUGGAAUGAGUACACUUUAAACCCUUUAACGAGGAUCUAUUGGAGGGCAAGUCUGGUGCCAGCAGCCGCGGUAACUCCAGCUCCAAUAGCGUAUAUUAAAGUUGUUGCGGUUAAAAAGCUCGUAGUUGGAUUUCUGUCUUCGGCCGGGCGGUGCCGCCUGAUAAUCAAGGGCGCGCACUGCUUUUGGAGCGCCGGUGUCAAAGCCGCGCUCUUUUAACGGUCGGACAAUACCACCGGAGUGG